GUUCCGUCUUUCUUGUGAAAGUAUGUGGGCUGUUGGACCAUGGAGUUUUCUUAUAGUGUCUACUCGGAUCUUGAUCACACUGGAGUCAAAUGGAUAACCUUAAAUUCAUCAGACUUUGUUUCAUAAGUCUUUAACACUCCAAAGCAGGCAGAAUUCUGUAAUUCAAGAGGACCACAACGAGUGACCCUUGAUUAAUGGCCACAUGUGAAGGCGUAUGUGCGAUCCAUGCUCCUGAAGGCCCUUCGGUGCCAAACCCACGUGGAGCAGUGGAUGACCCACACCAUGGGUUUUCUCAAAGCGGUCUAGCGUUUACCAGCCAUGGGGAGGAAAUGCCUUUGAGUAUUGAAGUUGCUUUAUUAGGACCAGCUAGUGUUCCAAGGUGUUGUUUAUGAAAAGGCAUUCUAGUACUUUCCAUUUAACUCCUCAAAGCUGUCACUAAUUGCUUGUAACUUGUUCUAUGCAAGUGUAAAUCUGUCUUUCAACUGGCAGUUACCUCUAUUUUCCAAUAAAACUUUAUGAAAACUUG
Carassius gibelio (silver crucian carp) is the source of this 526-nucleotide long non-coding RNA. RefSeq lists it as uncharacterized. The record is from RefSeq and is a predicted model, not a curated record. The transcript is spliced from 5 exons. Lineage: Eukaryota; Metazoa; Chordata; Actinopteri; Cypriniformes; Cyprinidae.